RNAcentral lists this ribosomal RNA (484 nucleotides) under uncultured bacterium. Its description in RNAcentral is "partial 16S ribosomal RNA". It matches the Rfam family "Bacterial small subunit ribosomal RNA", at positions 30 to 507 of the family's 1533-position model. The record is from RNAcentral.
AUUGAACGCUGGCGGCAGGCCUAACACAUGCAAGUCGAGCGGAUGAAGGGAGCUUGCUCCUGGAUGCAGCGGCGGACGGGUGAGUAAUGCCUAGGAAUCUGCCUGGCAGUGGGGGCUAACGUCCGGAAACGGGCGCUAAUACAGCAUACGUCCUGAGGGAGAAAGUGGGGGAUCUUCGGACCUCACGCUAUCAGAUGAGCCUAGGUCGGAUUAGCUAGUUGGUGGGGUAAAGGCCUACCAAGGCGACGAUCCGUAACUGGUCUGAGAGGAUGAUCAGUCACACUGGAACUGAGACACGGUCCAGACUCCUACGGGAGGCAGCAGUGGGGAAUAUUGGACAAUGGGCGAAAGCCUGAUCCAGCCAUGCCGCGUGUGUGAAGAAGGUCUUCGGAUUGUAAAGCACUUUAAGUUGGGAGGAAGGGCAGUAAGUUAAUACCUUGCUGUUUUGACGUUACCAACAGAAUAAGCACCGGCUAACUUCGUG